UUAAGCGCGACGGUCGAAUAAAAUAAGGGAGAUAAAUAAACGGAAUCACAGUCACCCCUGUAAAAUUACCGCAAGCUGACAUCGUAUUAAUUUGUUUUGGAUAAAACCAUUAUAAAUAAACGCAAAUGUAUAAAGUUACGAUUCACGGUUAAUGCAAAUAUCUUAACGCGGCUUUAUUUUAGGAUGCCACAAACAAAAAUGAAAUCUUGGGAUCACCUCUAAUUUCUAUAACUUAUUUUGCAGCUAUAAGUAUAUAUUGUACCUGAAUAUUUUUGAAGCCAUCGAUAUUCAUAUGUUGAAAAAAAAGACUGCUGGGAUAAAAAUGUGCGACAGAGUUAAAGCUUGUGGUAUAGUUUUAAUUCUGAUCAUGGCGAUAAACAUAACUGAAAGCCACGCCGUGUCUCAUAUAAAUGGAAACGGCGAUUCAGAUGAAAUUGGUCCAGAGUUUUUGGCGAAGUUAAGUAAUACAACGGUUCCCAUAGGACGUGACAUAUCAUUUACUUGUGUUGUUGACAAUUUGGGUCAUUAUCGGGUUGCAUGGAUAAAAUCGGAUUCAAAGGCCAUACUUGGUAUACACACCCACAUGGUCUCACUAAAUCCAAGAUUAUCUGUAACACAUAACGGUCACAACACCUGGAAACUUCACAUAUCUCGCGUACAGUUAAACGACUCCGGAAGUUAUAUGUGCCAAGUAAAUACAGAUCCUAUGAAGAGCCUUUCUGGAUAUUUAGAUGUUGUUGUACCUCCAGAUAUUUUAAACCAUCCAGAACAUAAUCCAGAGGAAGGUGUCUGUCAAGAAGGUGGAAGUAUUUCACUUUUAUGCAGUGUAACAGGCGUUCCAAGACCAAGGGUACUGUGGCGGCGUGAGGACGGAAAGGAAAUAAUACUACGCACGGAUAGCAGAGAUAAAACAGGUGUAAAGUCGGUUGAAGGAGAAAGGCUGGUCUUAACAAAUGUGCAUCGUUCCGAUAUGGGAGGCUAUAAUUGCAUUGCAUCUAAUGGAAUACCUCCUUCAGUUAGCAAGCGGUUUAACGUAUACGUUAAUUUUUCACCAACAAUUAAAGCCAUAAGUCAAUUGGUUGGAGCACCCGUUGAAAGAGAAGUAACUUUGGAAUGCAUUGUAGAAGUGUACCCCAAGCCUCUUAAUGGUUGGUACCGCAGGGAAGGUAAUAUUAAAAUGCACAGCGGAAACAAAUAUAAUAUUUCUGAAGAAAUGAUUAACCUAUACACAUGGCACCUUAACCUUACCAUAAGACAUCUGACCAAAUCAGAUUUUGGAACUUAUAGUUGUUCGAGCGUUAAUGCCCUUGGCAAAAGUGAAUCACUUAUUCGAUUGCAAGAGCUACGGCUGCCGCCCAAGUUGACCACAACACCAACACCUCACAUGCAAACAACAGGAAAAUCGCGUCGGAAGCACCCAGCAAGUCACAAAAAGGGCAUAAACGAAGUGUUACGAUUUCAAGAAACCCAUAUCACUAAUCAAAUUCAACAGGAGAACGAAGAACAUAACGAAGGAAUUGAUAUGUUAAAGUUUACUAACAGUGAAAAUUCUAAUGGCGUUUUAGAUAGCGACAACAUCAACAGCAUUAUAAACGGAGAAGAAGGAAACAUUCAUCAUCUUAAAAAAAAUGGACAAGAAAAGCCUAACAAGCCAUCUGGGACCAUACCAUCACCAAGUACCCCCUGGAUAUUCACAAAUACGGGAUCUCCAUGGGCAGCGCGAACUUCGAAUGCGACUGUUGCAUUGGUUAUAUUUUUUUGGUUGAUUUCUGGUGUGUGUCACUCCUUAGCCUGGAAUGCAAGAAGAGUAAUUCACUAAGUUGUUGUUUUGAAAAGAAGAUUAUUUGUUGAAGCGCUGACCAUCAUCCACGAUCCAGUUUGUUAAUUUGGACGCCCACCACAAAGUCGUUACCUUGGUCUCCGAUUUUUACUUCAUACGUCAGCAUAUAAGUGCCCCUGCUCUAGAUAAGGACUUGAGCCGAUAGAGGCGUCUGAUGUUCAGGUAUCAAGUUACCAGCGUUAGCUCGUCGUAUUCGGGUCACAGGAUCUUGCGCAAUGUCACACUCCGCAUCACUGUAAUGGAAUUAACGACUUUAAUAACUCAGCAAAUACAUUUUAUAUUAUGAACAAUGAUGCAUUAUUAUAAAUGCAUUAAUCAGG
RNAcentral lists this unclassified non-coding RNA (2160 nucleotides) under Drosophila yakuba. RNAcentral's name for it is "GE27909". The record is from RNAcentral. Lineage: Eukaryota; Metazoa; Arthropoda; Insecta; Diptera; Drosophilidae.